This 478-nucleotide ribosomal RNA is filed under the name uncultured organism. RNAcentral describes it as "partial 16S ribosomal RNA". It matches the Rfam family "Bacterial small subunit ribosomal RNA", at positions 332 to 801 of the family's 1533-position model. The record is from RNAcentral.
UACACUCCUACGGGAGGCAGCAGUGGGGAAUUUUGGACAAUGGGCGAAAGCCUGAUCCAGCAAUGCCGCGUGAGUGAAGAAGGCCUUCGGGUUGUAAAGCUCUUUUGUCAGGGAAGAAACGGUGAAAGCUAAUAUCUUUUGCUAAUGACGGUACCUGAAGAAUAAGCACCGGCUAACUACGUGCCAGCAGCCGCGGUAAUACGUAGGGUGCAAGCGUUAAUCGGAAUUACUGGGCGUAAAGCGUGCGCAGGCGGUUUUGUAAGUCUGAUGUGAAAUCCCCGGGCUCAACCUGGGAAUUGCAUUGGAGACGGCAAGGCUAGAAUCUGGCAGAGGGGGGCAGAAUUCCACGUGUAGCAGUGAAAUGCGUAGAUAUGUGGAGGAACACCGAUGGCGAAGGCAGCCCCCUGGGUCAAGAUUGACGCUCAUGCACGAAAGCGUGGGGAGCAAACAGGAUUAGAUACCCGGGUAGUCCCAUGAU